UACGGAGGGUGCGAGCGUUAAUCGGAACAACUGGGCGUAAAGGGCACGCAGGCGGAUUUUUAAGUGAGGUGUGAAAUCCCCGGGCUUAACCCGGGAAUUGCAUUUCAGACUGGACGACUAGAGUACUUUAGGGAGGGGUAGAAUUCCACGUGUAGCGGUGAAAUGCGUAGAGAUGUGGAGGAAUACCGAAGGCGAAGGCAGCCCCUUGGGAAUGUACUGACGCUCAUGUGCGAAAGCGUGGGGAGCAAACAGG
This 253-nucleotide ribosomal RNA is filed under the name uncultured bacterium. Its description in RNAcentral is "partial 16S ribosomal RNA". It matches the Rfam family "Bacterial small subunit ribosomal RNA", at positions 524 to 776 of the family's 1533-position model. The record is from RNAcentral.